GACGAACUGUGCAAACGUUAUUCGGAAUCACUGGGCUUAAAGAGUCCGUAGGCGGCAUGUUAGGUGAGGUGUGAAAUCCCCCGGCUCAACCGAGGAAUUGCGCUUCAAACCGGCGUGCUAGAGGAAGAUAGAGGUGGGCGGAACUGAUGGUGGAGCGGUGAAAUGCGUUGAUAUCAUCAGGAACACCGGAGGCGAAGGCGGCCCACUGGGUCUUUUCUGACGCUGAGACACGAAAGCCAGGGGAGCAAACGGG
RNAcentral lists this ribosomal RNA (253 nucleotides) under uncultured bacterium. RNAcentral describes it as "partial 16S ribosomal RNA". It matches the Rfam family "Bacterial small subunit ribosomal RNA", at positions 524 to 776 of the family's 1533-position model. The record is from RNAcentral.